ACAGUACAAACUGAGCAGGCAGCGAACCAAGGUUCAUAGCCGGGCCGGAUAAGGCAACAGAUGAAUGACAGCAUCUGUGGGACAGUA
Molecule: non-coding RNA, 87 nt
Submitted as: unclassified sequences
Source: Rfam